CGGACGGGUGAGUAACGCGUGAGAAUCUGCCCUCAAGACGGGGACAACAGCUGGAAACGGCUGCUAAUCCCCGAUAAGCCCAAGGGUGAAAAGAAAUUCGCUUGGGGAGGAGCUCGCGUCCGAUUAGCUAGUUGGUAAGGUAAAGGCUUACCAAGGCGACGAUCGGUAGCCGGUCUGAGAGGACGAUCGGCCACACUGGGACUGAGACACGGCCCAGACUCCUACGGGAGGCAGCAGUGGGGAAUUUUCCGCAAUGGGCGAAAGCCUGACGGAGCAAGACCGCGUGUGGGAGGAAGGCCUUCUGGGUCGUAAACCACUUUUCUCAGGGAAGAAGAACUGACGGUACCUGAGGAAUCAGCCUCGGCUAACUCCGUGCCAGCAGCCGCGGUAAUACGGAGGAGGCAAGCGUUAUCCGGAAUUAUUGGGCGUAAAGCGUCCGCAGGUGGCUCAUCAAGUCUGCUGUCAAAGACAGUGGCUCAACCACUGAGAGGCAGUGGAAACUGGAGAGCUAGAGAACGGUAGGGGUAGAGGGAAUUCCCAGUGUAGCGGUGAAAUGCGUAGAGAUUGGGAAGAACACCGGUGGCGAAAGCGCUCUACUGGGCCGUAUCUGACACUCAGGGACGAAAGCUAGGGUAGCGAAUGGGAUUAGAUACCCCAGUAGUC
Molecule: ribosomal RNA, 663 nt
Filed under: uncultured cyanobacterium
Lineage: Bacteria; Bacillati; Cyanobacteriota
Description: bacterial SSU rRNA
Rfam family: Bacterial small subunit ribosomal RNA
Source: RNAcentral